GAUGAAGAACGCAGCGAAAUGCGAUAAGUAAUGUGAAUUGCAGAAUUCAGUGAAUCAUCGAAUCUUUGAACGCACCUUGCACUCCUUGGUAUUCCGAGGAGUACGCCUGUUCGAGUGUUAUGAAGCUCUCAAAACGCAAUUGGCUUAAAACCUGAUUGUUGUUUUGGAUUUGAACUUUGCCGUGUUAUAACGGCUGGUUUUAAAAGUAUUAGCUGGUACUAGAACGAAUUGGUUCUACUCAACGUGAUAAUUAUCUGAUCGUUGAGGACAUUCCUUUCACGAGGAAUGGCCAUAGUAAAUUCAAUGGACUGCUUCUAAUCUCGCUUUAAUUCUUUAUUGGAUUAACCACUUUUCAAAUCUGACCUCGAAUCAGGUGGGACUACCCGCUGAACUUAAGCAUAUCAAUAAGCGGAGGA
Molecule: unclassified non-coding RNA, 416 nt
Filed under: soil metagenome
Description: partial contains 5.8S ribosomal RNA, internal transcribed spacer 2, and large subunit ribosomal RNA
Rfam family: 5.8S ribosomal RNA (bases 1-120)
Source: RNAcentral